CCUACGGGCGGCAGCAGUGGGGAAUAUUGGGCAAUGGGCGCAAGCCUGACCCAGCAACGCCGCGUGAAGGAAGAAGGCUUUCGGGUUGUAAACUUCUUUUCUCAGGGACGAAGCAAGUGACGGUACCUGAGGAAUAAGCCACGGCUAACUACGUGACAGCAGCCGCGGCAAUACGUAGGUGGCAAGCGUUAUCCGGAUUUACUGGGUGUAAAGGGCGUGUAGGCGGGACUGCAAGUCAGAUGUGAAAACCACGGGCUCAACCUGGGGCCUGCAUUUGAAACUGUAGUUCGUGAGUACUGGAGAGGCAGACGGAAGUCCUGGUGUAGCGGUGAAAUGCGUAGAUAUUAGGAGGAACACCAGUGGCGAAGGCGGUCGGCUGGACAGCAACUGACGCUGAGGCGCGAAAGCGUGGGGAGCAAACAGGAUUAGAUACCCGGGUAGUC
This 443-nucleotide ribosomal RNA is filed under the name uncultured bacterium. Its description in RNAcentral is "partial 16S ribosomal RNA". It matches the Rfam family "Bacterial small subunit ribosomal RNA", at positions 338 to 795 of the family's 1533-position model. The record is from RNAcentral.